UGCGUGAUUAUUAUUGUGUUCUUAGAUGUUGAUUAGUAUUAGUUUUUAUUCAGGUUUUAGAUUUAGUGGUUAGUCGUUGGCUUAGGCCAAUAUUAGAGUUAAAAUAUUGGUGGGGUUAUAAAUGCGGUGCCAGCUGUAGCGGUUAGACCGGAACCUCUAUGUAUAAUUAUUUUGUGUUAGUGGAGUGUUUAGGAUUGGAGGAUUGUUGUAUAUACGUUUGUGUCUGAGCUCUUGAUUGGGUGAAAUCUUUAUGUUAUUGGAUGAUUAGUAUUAUAGCGAUGUGUUCUUUCAAUGCUCUAAAUCCUUGUUUUAAAGUCGGAUUAGAUACCCGGUUAUUUUGGAGUUAAACUAUAUUGGGUAGUAGUGUUUAUUAUAUGAAACUUAAAGAAUCAGGCGGUAUUUUAAGCUAACCAGGGGAAUCCGUCUCUUGAUUUGAUGGUGCGCAUACUAUUUCACUCAUGGCUUGUAUUAUUUGACAGUUUGUAUACCUCCGUCUUAAUAUUUUCCCCCCUAGGGUUGGUUUUUAGGAAAUGAUUAGUGUAGUAUUAUUAAUACCAAGACGACAGGUCGAGGUGCAGCCUAUGCUUGAGGGUUUAUAUGGCGGAUUACAUUGCUAUUAGUGCUUGUUCGGAUAAAUUGAUAUUGUAAUAUAUUUUUGAAGUUGGAUUUGGAAGUAAGGGUGAUUUUUUAAUUUGAUUUCCUGAAUUUUGCUCUGAGAUGUGCACUAAUCGCCCGUCACUCUCGUUUAUAAGAUGAGAAAAGUCGUAACAUAGUAGGCGUACUGGAAAGUGCGCCUGGGCUAUUAUAGUUAGUUGAAUAUGUUU
Molecule: ribosomal RNA, 824 nt
Filed under: Xibalbanus tulumensis
Lineage: Eukaryota; Metazoa; Arthropoda; Remipedia; Nectiopoda; Speleonectidae
Description: small subunit ribosomal RNA
Source: RNAcentral